CUUGGUAGAGACCAUCUGCUAUAUGUGUUUCCUUUACCAGGAGUAUCUGCCUGCGGGGGGAAGGGAUAUCGGGUGCCCUACGUCCCUCUCGGAAGAUGGGCCCUAAGGAACCUCUCGGAGGGAACACGUUCUGUCUCCCCUGUGCUGGGUGUAAACUCUAGCGAUAGGACCGCCACCCGCUUCCCACCAAGUGCAGCUCAAUUCCAGGAAAUACUUUCAAGCCAGCGCGGAGACACACUGGGACGUCUUUUUCUUCUCCCCCGUCCAUCUGCAGGCCAAGUGCGCAUCGGUCAAAGGCAAACUCUGAAUUGAGCUUUGUGCCAGUCUCUGGAAAGACACCCAAGAGCGUGUGAUGGGGAAAGUGACAGUGGCGGUGGCAGCGACAUCUGCAGUGCCAGCCCCGUCCCUAUCUGCCACAGAACGCGUGUGGGCACGCUUUAUGAGAACAAUCCACCCGCCAGAGAAUGGGGCUUUUGACAUCAGCUGAGGCCCGGGCUGCCUUACAAUGAGAGGCCUGUUGGUGAAAGGGAGACUGUUUAAUGAACUGAGAAUCAGAGGCCAGCUCUGGCCAUCUGGACUGAGCAUCUUUGGAGCAACUCUUCAUUGUAAAUGGCUACACUGAAGCACGUUGCCUUUCCAAGAAAGCAAUUGCAACAGUAAAUUCAUAUUUCAAAAUUGUGCACAAUAAACUCAUAUUUCAAAAUCGUGAACUUUUA
Molecule: non-coding RNA, 716 nt
Organism: Delphinapterus leucas (beluga whale)
Lineage: Eukaryota; Metazoa; Chordata; Mammalia; Artiodactyla; Monodontidae
Source: RefSeq, a predicted model, not a curated record